GACCAAGAUGGUUAACAAGCUUCCUAAUCUGAUGACCAUCCUCUUGUUCAAACACUAUGCUGGGUACUCGCCCAGCUUUCCAGUCUUUGACAGAGACGUUCUUGCCCGAAGUGACACGAGCAAUGGCAUGAAUAGUUUUAUCGUAUUUAGGGUUGGGUUUUGGGAAAUCUUCAAGGUCUGGAACAGCGGCGGCGGUGGCAGAGUUGCUAAAGAAACGGAAAUGGUGGAGGGAUUUGAUAAGCACAAUGCGUCAGAUCAACAUUUUUUGGAUGUGAUUUAAGGUAAAAUAAUAUUUUGUACUUUUCAAAAUUUUAUCUCAAUUUUAAAAUGUAAUUAUUGCAAAUUUUUAUUGUUUACAGGUUUAAGAUAAAAUUAUCUUAUUUUAUCCUUAGUAAUUACUUCUUGCAUUCCUUAUUAAUUGAUCACAUCCUACUUUUGGUGAUAGUUGAAAUAUCAUGAAUAAGAUUACUAAUUUUACUAAUUUACUCUUCAUUCAUGUAGAUGAAUAUCAAGAUUAGUUAUAAAAAAUAUGCUCACAUUAAUUUAUUUAGGCUUUCAAAGAAUAUUAAUUGUAAGAGUAAAUUGAAAAGAUUUUAAUUAAUUUUGUCUUGAUUAGUAAGUGGAUAAAUAAUUUUGGACAUAUCUAUAAUCUAUAAUCUAUUUAUAUUUAUAUUUAUAUUUAUAUUUAUAAUUUAUAAUUUAUAUUUAUAUUUAUAUUUAUAAUAUAUUAAAAGUGUGAAGGAUCUUAGAAAUGUUGUUUGAACUUUUUGCUCUUCACUAAAAAUCCUUACUUUAGAAAAAAUCUCACUAUUUUUUCUUAAUAUUUAAGAGUUAAAAAUUAAUUAAAUAUAUUUAUGUUAAAACCUUUCCUUAUUAGAAGUUAUCAGAAUUUCAAUAUUUUUUUCUAAUUUAUGAGUUAAAAAUUAAUUAAAUAUAUUUAUGAUAAAAAGUUUUCUUAUUUAGAGAUCAUCAAAAUUAAUGACAACUGAUACCUUUUUAAUUAAUUUAAGAAUUUUAAAUCAAUUAAAUUUAAUUUUAAAAAGAUUUGUAAAAUCUAGAAAUAAAUAUAAAAACUAUUAGAAUAAGAAAAAUUUAAAAGUACCAGAUUUUUAAAAGUUUUAAGUACGUAAUAAUAAUGUAAUUAAUGAUUUUAUAAAGAUUUGAUUUUAAAAAUAAGAAAAUAUUUUAAAUGUAUAAAAAAAAUAAUCGUAACAAAUUUGUUCAAAUUGAUGUAUCUCUCUUAGUCUCUGGCAACAAGAUCCAUCAACCACUUGAAACUUUUGGUGAUAAAACAUAUAUGUGUAUAUGUUAAUAUUUACAUUAUUAUAUUAAAGUGUGAAAAAUUUUUGAAAAAUGAUUUGAACUUUUACAUUUUAUUAAAAAUCUCCACAAUAGGUAAAAUCAUUUAAUCUUAAAUAAUCAAACAUUAUACGUGCGAUUAAACUAGUAUUUAUAGUAAGGUGGCCAACUAAAAUGGAAUGGAAUGGAAGGAAUAUUUAUUUUAAAGACUACAAAUAUUGUUCCAAUAUCAAUGAAAAUAGUUAAUUUUUUUUUUUUAAAAAAAAAAAGAUCUCCAAAUUAAUGUUUCUUAAGAAACAUCUAAAAUAGAAUCACCACAAAUAAUUUAUGAUGGAGGAAGAUUUAAGUUGGAUGGAAUAAGGUGGCAUAUUCAUUUAAAAUUGAAUUUAUAUAUUUUGUUUGAUUGGAGAUAUUUGAGUGAGAAGUUUUGUUUGAUUGGAGAUAUUUGAGUGAGAAGUUUAUAUGACCAUUCAACUUUGGAUAAGUAGUUAUUAUAGUCGCUCAAUUUGUUUUAUCUUAUAAAAGUCAUUCAACUUUGUCAAAUUAAUUUCAAUGACUAUUAUUUUUAAUAAAUAAAUAAUUAUAUUGCCAAAGUAAAGCAUUUGGGUACAAACUAUACCUCUAGCUUACUACCAAGUUAUUACAGUGUGCAACAAACUACACCUAUGAUUUAUCUAAAAGUUAAAAAAAAAAAAUUUAGCUAUCUUGCCACUUGAAACUUCAUGUUACUCCUGACAUGGACCUCCUAAAUGACAUACUUCACACUGCUAUUCACAAAUUGCUUGCAGCUUUGAGAAGCUCCCAUAUUCUUUUCUUUCGACAUGCUAUACAUAGUCGCCGCUAAGUGAUCCUAUAAACUUGAGUUUGGUGCUUCUUCACUUGACGUAACAAAUUGGCCACUCUAGCUAGCCUGUCUUUGGUGUAUCAUUUAGUAUGAGCAAACUAUUAUCAACACAAAGGCCCACUUUGGCAAGAUUAAAUCAUUACAAAUUAGUCUUCUUCAGUCAACCAUUUGAAAGGUACUUCUAAAAUUAAGGUAGAACUGCUUAAUUGAGAAAUGAGACAUUCUACCUAUUCCUUCAUGUUAUUAUCAGCUUAAGUCACAUACUUGUUGAACUUAAGAAUCUUUGGACAAUCCAUGAUGUUGCUUUGGAAUGUCAACAAAAAAAGUUCCUAUGCUUAUAGUAACAGUGAAUCCACCUCAUCCACAACUUGUCUUUCUUCAACAUAGGUUUCAUUGGAGUUUGAUCAUAACUUCUUUGUUCCAAGUGUGGCUAUCCAGAAUAUUAAGGUCACUAGUAAUUUCAGGUUGACAGAUUCUAUCCCAGUCUGGGAGUGCUAUAUUUGACAUUUCAGCUAUAACCGUUCAAAAAAGGUCUUACAAAUAACCGCAAUGAGUUUCACUACCUUCUUGGGGAGACUAAAGAUUUGAGCCUAGAAGUUUUGGAUAGAGAAAAGUAUUGGUUUGAUCAGCUCUGUAUGGGGAAAAAUAUCUUUGAUAAGGAUUGGGCCGAUUCAGGUUGGGUAAUGAUCUUAGGUGGAUUUUUGCACUUAAGUCUAACUAUCUAUACGUAAUUAACCUUGUUUCGAGGACCUUUUGUGUGCAUAAUGAGUUGAUACUCAUAUAAUUUAGCAUCUAUGUGUUAAACUACUUUUAUGUUUAAGGUGUAUUCAAAACAAGUUUGGAAUCAAAAUGAUCACUUAGAAUUUAGACGAGAAAACUAGUGUUACUAGCUUGAGCUAUGUGUUGUUUUAGUGUAUCUCGAUAAAUUUUAUUGUGUUGAGUGCAUAAAUUCAUGGUUUUUGAAGUUAUAGGAGACUAGGGAUGAUGUUGAGAACAUUUUCGGGUAGCUAAACAAGCUGAAUUUGAAGGGAAAAGGCAGCCAUGAAGUGAGCAAAUAGGAGUAAACCUUGAUGAAAGCUGAAAUUUUUGAGGCCAUGGGCAUGCCACACCCUCUAGCCUCCGAGAUAAGAGUGUGCCACACCCCAAGACAUAAUUACAACAUGGAAAAAUAGUGAUCAUCCACGAUAAGGGCGAGCCAUGCCCUUAACGCGCCAAGACAUGGGUGUGACACCCCUUUGGUUCAAAAACGGGCAAUUCCCUUCUUAGUAUAAAUAGAACACUUGGAUUGUAUUGUAAACACCUUGGACGACUUUGAGAGAUGAAUAAAACUUGAGAAAGGCUAGAAUUAGCGUUCUUUGAUCUUUUUUUUAGUUUACUUUUGGUUUUUAUACAUGAAUUAGUCAUCGCGAUUCGUUGUAAAUCCAUGAGUGGCUAUACUCCUCAUCUAGGGUUGAAGCCAAUAACAUGAUUACUUAUGCUUUUAAUUGAGUUUGUUUAAGUUGAUUGUCAUUUUUCGGUUGUUCAUUUAUCAUUAUUCUUACUAUUCUAUGAAUUCACGACCCUUACGAUAAACUUAUAUUUCUAUUGUGAGCCCGGAAGGAGGAACAAUUGAUUUGAUCGUGGGAUCUUAUAUUUAGAGAAAUCAAUGUUAUAGUUUGCAUUUAGGAUAGAAAUAUACCUAAUUCACCCCAUUUGGUUCAUAUAUACCGGAUGAAAUAUAAAUGUGUUUAACUUAGUUCUCACCUCCCCACUCAACGAUAUAGUUGUGGGGCUAAGUUAGAUAGACGAUUAGAGGAUGACUAUUUCAUAAUUAUGUUAUUAACCCCAUGAAUCAACAACCAAAGUAAUUAACUAAACUAACGAGAUUGUAUAGCUAAGUAGGAUUGUUCAUAGUGGGAGUGUGCAAAAAUCGAAUUGACCGAUAAAUCGAACCAAAAAAUGAUUAUGGAUUUAUUGGUAUCGGGUUAUUGGGUUAACGAUUUUAAAAUAAAAUUUAUUGGAUAUCAGUUCGGUUUUCGAUUUUAAGGUUUUAGUUAACGGUUAAAUCAACAACCCAACAAGAUUAUAUUAAAAUUAUAGUUCGAUCCCUAAUUAUAUAAUAGUGGCUUUAUAUUUUAAAUACAUACCUCAUAGUUAUUUUUUACAUGUAGUUCUUUGUCUUAUUAUUGUUUUUUUCAUUAUAAACUUUUCGACUUGUUGGAUUUCUAUCCAUUAAUAUAAACUAUAAACCUACAUUGAUUUUGUUUGAGAGAUUAUCUUCUAAUUCAAAGACUCAUCCCAUGAUUACCCGUAAACAGAAAAGGUUUCUCAAGACCUGAGUUUUUGCUUCUCUUCUUUCUCAUUCCUCUACACUUCCAUUUGAGCUUUCAUCUUUUAUGGAAGCUUUUAAGUGUCCUAAUUGGAGAUGUGCUAUGGUCGCUGAAUACAAUUCUUUUAUGGCUAAUCCCACCUGGUCAUAAGUUCCACCUCCCCCUCAAGUCAAUAUUAUUGAUUUUCAUUGGGUAUAUCGUCUAAAAAAAAUCUGAUAGUCCUUCGGGAGUUUUAAGGCUCUUCUUAUAUCCAUGGCUACAAAUAAUAACAAGGACUAAAUAUGGUCAAAAGUUUAGUCAUGUGGUGAAACCAGUCAACAUUCGCAUUAUUCUAGCCUUUGCUGCAUCUAAGAAAUGAUAUGUCCAUCAAUUAGACGUAAAGAAUGCCUUUUUACAUCAAAAUCUUGACGAAUUGGUAUAGAUGAAGCAGCCUACUGGCUUUGUUCAUCCACAAUUUUCUGAUCAUGUUUGUCGGUUUAACAAAGACCUUUAUGGCUUAAAACAAGCUCCUCGAGCAUCGUUUCAUAGGUUUACUUUCUUUAUUUUAAGAAAUGGAUUUAAAAAUAGCAUGUCUGAUCGUUCUCUUUUCAUUUACAAACAUAAUUCAGACAUGGCUAUUCUUCUGCUCUAUGUUGAUGAUAUUCUUCUUACUGCUUCUAAUUCUUUACUUCAGACUCUUAAAUCUAAGUUUUUCGUGAAUGACUUAGGUUUAGUUACUUAUUUUCUUAGUAUUUAUAUAGUUGCUCGCAAUAGGGGUUAUUUUCUUUGUUAGUCCAAGUAUUUAAAAGACCUUCUUGAUCGUGCAAAUUCGUUAUCUUCAAAAUCGAUUUCAACUCCUCUUUCUCCUAAGACUCUACUUUAUUUCGAAGAUUCUCCUUCUUUUUCUGAUCAAACACUUCACAGAAAUCUUGUUGGUAGUCUCCAGUACUUAACUUUUACCCGUUCAGACAUUGCUUUUGCUAUUAAUCAAGUGUCUCAAUUUAUACAUUCUUCUUUAGCCAUUCAUUAUAUUGCCGUCAAAAAAAUUCUGUGAUAUUUGCAAGGUUCUGUGGAUCAUAGGUUAUUUUUCCUAGUGGCUCUACUAAUAACUUACAAUGUUACAAUAAUGCAGACUGGAUUGGUUGCUCUGUAACUUGUCGAUCUACU
Molecule: long non-coding RNA, 5598 nt
Filed under: Capsicum annuum
Lineage: Eukaryota; Viridiplantae; Streptophyta; Magnoliopsida; Solanales; Solanaceae
Description: long non-coding RNA (CANN_LNC016935)
Source: RNAcentral